Molecule: long non-coding RNA, 1108 nt
Organism: Oncorhynchus tshawytscha (Chinook salmon)
Lineage: Eukaryota; Metazoa; Chordata; Actinopteri; Salmoniformes; Salmonidae
Source: Ensembl
GGGACAGCCUGUAACAUGGUAACAACGGGGGGUUGAUGUGGGACAGCCUGUAACGUGGUAACAACAGGGGAUUGAUGUGGGACAGCCUGAAACGUGGUAACAACAGGGGAUUGAUCAGAGGGGUUUAUGAAGCUCAUGGGGUGAUGGCUCCUGAUGUCCUGUGCCUUUUAUCUGUCAUGGACAGCAGGCUACCAAAUGGCUCUCACACAGAGGUAGAUGUGGUCGACACACACAGUUGUCAUUGUACUAAACACAACUUGUCCUGUGAUGAGGUGCCAUUGUAAGGGGGAUGGCACUGCUGGAUUACAGUUAAGGACAAUGCAGCUACUUUUUACACACUUUCUCUCUCUCUCACAUUCCUACUAAAGUAUUAAAUCUGAUUCAUAGUGCUCAGGACUAAAUUGUACCAUAUUACACAACUUGAUUACUAGCUGGGACCACAGUAGUUGUAGACUCCCCAUGUUUUAUAUACAUACUAGUUCCUGUACUGAACAGACAUGUUUAAUUUAAUAUUCCUACAUUUUAUGUUGUUUGGUUUUGGUUGCAGAGCAACUCUGUACAUGUUUUGACAUUUAAUCUUAAAUGGGACAUACAGUUCCCUCGAUUGUGAAUAAACUUCGAUAGGCGACAACAAGGUGUCGCAUGUGAAAAUGUACAUGACAAGCCUCCCCAUAUUAACUCACUGGAAAUAGAAUGGUUAAUCUGUUAAUGUACAUACAUUUUGUUUGUUGAUAUUUAAAUAUAAAAGAGUUAAUAACCUUGGCAGUAACUGUCUCAAUCAGGGCUGGGGUCAAUUUCAAUUGAAGGCAGUCAAUUCAGGAAGUGAUUUUAAUUUAAAAUAAGAAAAUAUAAAAUGUUUGAAAUAGCUUUUAUUCCUCAUUUUAUUGAGAAGUCAUUGACAAUAGAAGCUGUUUUUUCCUAAACUUUUUUGUUAUUUAAGUUAACUUCAAUUCAAAUUUACCUCAGCCCUUUACCCUGCAUUGUGGUAAAGUGCGGUUGCCAUAUUGUGUUUUAGCUGGUGUUCAGUGUGUAUGUAGACUAGUAGAGAAUCUAUUCCAUUCACGCUCAUUGACUGUGGAUCAGUACAUUGACUCUAACCUAUUCUGCA